Molecule: ribosomal RNA, 269 nt
Filed under: uncultured eukaryote
Lineage: Eukaryota
Description: partial large subunit ribosomal RNA
Source: RNAcentral
UCACCCUAGAGGGCAACACCUCUCCCUACCUGGAUCCACUCAUGCUCUACAACGAGAUACGACUGAGCGUGAAGCAAACCACUCCACUGUUCGGCGACCUUAAAGACUCCGGUCAUGAGGAUGGCUCAAGUUUCCUCUUGUUCUUGAGGAACGAUGUCAGCCAGCAGAACGCUCCCAAGAUCGCUUCAACCGAAGACGAGCUUUCCACUAGGGUGAAGAUAUCGAAGGUUUACGGGACGGCCACAGUGGAGACCGAUAGCGCACAAGUA